AUUGAACGCUGGCGGCAUGCUUUACACAUGCAAGUCGGACGGCAGCACAGAGAAGCUUGCUCCUUGGGUGGCGAGUGGCGAACGGGUGAGUAAUAUAUCGGAACGUACCGAGUAAUGGGGGAUAACUAAUCGAAAGAUUAGCUAAUACCGCAUAUUCUCUGAGGAGGAAAGCAGGGGACCUUCGGGCCUUGCGUUAUUCGAGCGGCCGAUAUCUGAUUAGCUAGUUGGUGGGGUAAAGGCCUACCAAGGCGACGAUCAGUAGCGGGUCUGAGAGGAUGAUCCGCCACACUGGGACUGAGACACGGCCCAGACUCCUACGGGAGGCAGCAGUGGGGAAUUUUGGACAAUGGGCGCAAGCCUGAUCCAGCCAUGCCGCGUGUCUGAAGAAGGCCUUCGGGUUGUAAAGGACUUUUGUCAGGGAAGAAAAGGCUGUUGCUAAUAUCAAUAGCUGAUGACGGUACCUGAAGAAUAAGCACCGGCUAACUACGUG
Molecule: ribosomal RNA, 490 nt
Filed under: uncultured bacterium
Lineage: Bacteria
Description: partial 16S ribosomal RNA
Rfam family: Bacterial small subunit ribosomal RNA
Source: RNAcentral